This is a long non-coding RNA of Thunnus maccoyii (southern bluefin tuna), 473 nucleotides long. RefSeq lists it as uncharacterized. The transcript has 3 exons. The record is from RefSeq and is a predicted model, not a curated record. NCBI's taxonomy places the organism in Eukaryota, Metazoa, Chordata, Actinopteri, Scombriformes, Scombridae.
UCACUCUGCUUCUCUACAGAUGACACAAACAAGAUACAACAUGUUAAUUAGUAAAAAGUAAAGCAUGUAUCAAUGUUCUUAUCUAAGUCUUUGCAAAAGAUUUCAAACUAUCCCAUAUCAUAUCCUGUUUCUGUUUUCUGUUUAUCUCUAAACAACAUGGCUAAACUAACUGUGAGAUGCAGUUGAAACAUUAGUGAAAUGCUUAGCUUUAAACCUGUUGAUCUUCAUUGCAGUGCGCUGCAUUCUUUCUACCAUCCAGACAUGGGUCCACUUUGACGAACACCAAAGCAUCAGGAAAGAUUCUAAAUGGGCCCAGGGCCUUCUUGAGGAAGGUGAUGUAAGCCAGAGCCACCGCCGCGCUGAGGUAGAAGAACGCCGCCAGGCCGUGCGGCAGCCCAAGCAGAACUGUUCUUGUGACCCCCCGCUACAAAGAUGAUCAUCCAGAGGAAGGUCAUGACGAAGCAGAAGACAGA